CGGCUGAACCAGCAAUUUGGAGGAAUGUAAGUAAAAAGAAUGAAAAUUCUUUUUCUAGCGGUUUAUCCGCAUAAAAUUCUAGAUAGAUAAUUGAUAAUGACAAAUUUCUAUCUACAAGUCUCGACAAAAUCACGUGCCAGCAGUCGCGGUAAUACGGGAGAGACGAGUGUUAUUCAUCUUUAUUAGGUUUAAAGGGUACCUAGACGGUUUAUUAUGCCCUCUGUCAAGGGUGGAUACAAAUAGACUAGAGUUUUAAUGGAAGAGGUAUAUCAGAAUAAACGGAGUAGAGAUAAAAUUCUUUGAUCCCGGGGAGACUGGUAACGGCGAAAGCGACCCUCUAUGUACAAACUGACGUUGAGGGACGAAGGCAUUGGUAACGAACAGGAUUAGAUACCCUAGUAGUCUCUGCAGACAAUGAUGAGUGCCAUAGAUUAGAUUUAGUUUGAUUUAUAAAUGAAAGUGUAAGCAUUCCACCUCAAGAGUAAUGUGGCAACGCAGGAACUGAAAUCAUUAGACCGUUUCUGAAACCAGUAGUGAAGUAUGUUAUUUAAUUCGAUAAUCCGCGAAAAACCUUACCACAAUUUGAAUAUUAUACUACUGAUAUUACAUCAGUUAUAUUACAGGUGCUGCACGGCUGUCUUUAGUUAAUGUCGUGAGACUUAGGUUGACUCCGUUUAAUUAACGUAAACCCCUAUUCCAUUUGUAUGACUAUAAUUUUUAUUUUUAUAAAUUGAUUAUACAAUUAGUUUAUAUGGAAUAGUUCUAAAAAACAUAAAAAGGAUAAAAGGGAUCAAGGCAAGUACUCGUGGUC
RNAcentral lists this ribosomal RNA (811 nucleotides) under Fouragea viridistellata. Its description in RNAcentral is "mitochondrial SSU rRNA". It matches the Rfam family "Bacterial small subunit ribosomal RNA", at positions 380 to 1200 of the family's 1533-position model. Lineage: Eukaryota; Fungi; Ascomycota; Arthoniomycetes; Arthoniales; Opegraphaceae. The record is from RNAcentral.